Long non-coding RNA from Chiroxiphia lanceolata (lance-tailed manakin), 575 nucleotides. RefSeq lists it as uncharacterized. The transcript is spliced from 3 exons. The record is from RefSeq and is a predicted model, not a curated record. Lineage: Eukaryota; Metazoa; Chordata; Aves; Passeriformes; Pipridae.
GUCAGGCUACUGACCUGAACAUGACAAAUAUUAGGAAAGAGACUCUGUGACAGUUCUGCUACUCGGAAGAAACUACUGCUCAGUAUUCAAGUCUGUUCAUGAUUGCCCAAACCUGGUCUUUGCCCUGCCAUCCGUCUGCGAUGUUUAUAUUUUCAAAGUAGAGGAUUUCACCUCCAAUGCAAUUCAUGGCGCUGUUUUAGAGUUUUUCAGAGUAGACUGGAGGCUUUCAAGGUGUGGUAACAUUCCGAGACCUUCUCCAUUCACCUAAAGAACGCUACAAUUCUCAAAAAUAUCUUGUGUUUCCCUAGCACAGCCUAGAAAAGGACAGGGAAGUCAGUCUCUUAGAAGUCAAGAUGGAAAAUACAAGAGAAUAUCUAGAUGAAGCUUUGGGUAGGAAAAGAAAAUCACCGAAACACUUGGCAAGCAGGUCUCGAGUUCCUUCUCUCUUCCAUCAAACAUCAGAAAAAUUUGUGUAUUGUAUUUAAAACCUCAUCUCCUGCUGGGUCCUGUAGAACUCAGUAAGUAGCAUGGGAAAUUUUGUUGUGUGCUCUUGCCCACGAUCGGAAGAGCACACG